AGCGGUGUCUGGAAUUUUUUUUUUUUUUUUUACUGUGAUUAAUAGCUCAGUUUAUUAGCUGUUUUACUAAAGUACAACUUUAUAGUGAAAAUAAUGUACUAGAAAUAGCUUUCUUUAUGAUACGCUUACAAAAUGUCAGACGCCAGGGAGACUGUCCUCAACAGUGAUGACACAAUGCACACGCUCCCCGUGAGCAAAGCUGAAGGCGGGCUAGGCAGGCUGACCGUGGGAAGCCAGGGAAGCUUGGGGGCCUCCGAGCUCACCCUCCGGAACCAUGAGAGGAGCUUCUCUGUUUCACCAGGCUGAGAUCAAUCAUGCUCCAAUCCCACUUUCCAGCCACCGUGAAGCGCCACAGAGGAAUGGUUUCAACUCUAAGGACCUUCACUCCAGGACCACCUUGCCUUUUUGAUGGCGCUUCAUUCUUGAGUAGGGACUUAUGGUGUCAUCUGUCACAAAGUCAUGCAGUACUCUGAUCCAUGAGUUGUAGUGGGGGAGGUUGUCGUAGUACUCGGCAGCGAUCUUCCUCACCAGUGGAAGGCUUUUUCCGGGAAUGUUGGGGAAGUCAUGGUGCUAGGAGGAACACGAGGGGUGAAUCAACCAUCCAAUUGAUGUGUGUAGGAAAGAAGAAGCUUAAAAGAACCACAAAGUGGAGCAGUACCUCAUCAGAUAUCUCUUGGAAUGGGAAGAAAUCAAGCUCCCAAGAUAGUGUUAGUAUUCAUGAAGUUUAUAUAAACAUCUGGCAAAGCUGUUGGGAUAUGAAAGAACAGACAUGA
This 773-nucleotide long non-coding RNA is filed under the name Vulpes vulpes (red fox). RNAcentral describes it as "lncRNA (ENSVVUG00000015173.1)". Lineage: Eukaryota; Metazoa; Chordata; Mammalia; Carnivora; Canidae. The record is from RNAcentral.